GCGGAGUGAUGGUGCUUGCACUAUCACUUAGCGGCGGACGGGUGAGUAAUGCUUAGGAAUCUGCCUAUUAGUGGGGGACAACAUUUCGAAAGGAAUGCUAAUACCGCAUACGUCCUACGGGAGAAAGCAGGGGAUCUUCGGACCUUGCGCUAAUAGAUGAGCCUAAGUCGGAUUAGCUAGUUGGUGGGGUAAAGGCCUACCAAGGCGACGAUCUGUAGCGGGUCUGAGAGGAUGAUCCGCCACACUGGGACUGAGACACGGCCCAGACUCCUACGGGAGGCAGCAGUGGGGAAUAUUGGACAAUGGGCGCAAGCCUGAUCCAGCCAUGCCGCGUGUGUGAAGAAGGCCUUAUGGUUGUAAAGCACUUUAAGCGAGGAGGAGGCUACUGAAGUUAAUACCUUCAGAUAGUGGACGUUACUCGCAGAAUAAGCACCGGCUAACUCUGUGCCAGCAGCCGCGGUAAUACAGAGGGUGCAAGCGUUAAUCGGAUUUACUGGGCGUAAAGCGCGCGUAGGCGGCUAAUUAAGUCAAAUGUGAAAUCCCCGAGCUUAACUUGGGAAUUGCAUUCGAUACUGGUUAGCUAGAGUGUGGGAGAGGAUGGUAGAAUUCCAGGUGUAGCGG
RNAcentral lists this ribosomal RNA (621 nucleotides) under Acinetobacter calcoaceticus. RNAcentral's name for it is "bacterial SSU rRNA". It matches the Rfam family "Bacterial small subunit ribosomal RNA", at positions 66 to 681 of the family's 1533-position model. The record is from RNAcentral. Lineage: Bacteria; Pseudomonadati; Pseudomonadota; Gammaproteobacteria; Moraxellales; Moraxellaceae.